AGGUAUGAGUGCAAUAACAGUUUCAUUGCAAAAAAAUCAGUUGACACAUUAAUUUAAUUAGACAAAAAAAUUGAAAUAGACUGGUCAAUGUACUAGCAUCUUUCAUUUAUAGAAAAAUCAUCAAUAUUAUUGGUAUCUAUACUGUAUAAGAUGAACUUAGCUAAACGCUACAUUUUCGUGAUCUCACCUAACGUUAUUGAACUUUUCCAUUGCAGAUGGUGCUGCAUCACUGGAGUGAUGAGGACUGCGUGAAGAUCCUCGCCAAUUGCAAGAAGGCAAUAGCUUCACGAGAAGAGGGAGGAAAAGUUUUGAUUGGAGAUAUAGUUCUCGACCCUGCUUCAGAACCUGUAAUGUUUGAGACCCAUCUCUUGAUGGACGUCUGCAUGAUGCUUAUGAAAGGAGGCCGGCAACGCGACUUAAAUGACUGGCGUGACAUCUUCAUCAAAGCAGGGUUCAGCGACUUCAAGCUUGUCAAGAAAUUUGGAGCUCGAGGUGUCUUGGAGGCCUACCCGUAAGAUUUCUCCUGGACAUUCUUAUAUUGCGGUUGGGCACCAUAAACCUAUAGUGAAUAAAUAAAAAGAGUGCCAUAAUUUUCGAACUAUCGUUUCACGGAACAUGAUCAAGCAGCUUGUUGCUGAGGUUACAAAGCUGGUUUGCUUCAUGAUCUGUAUACUUUCAUUUCGAAAAGUAUAUCUACAAUCUACAACUUGCUCAUAUAUUGUAUGUGUAUGGUAUUGAUAUCCACCAACUGGAGUUGGAUGUGUGUAAUGCCCCUGUUUGCCCCUGUUUCUCAGAAAAGCAACCAUUGUACACUACGGGAAAUAUAAUAUGCAUAAUGGUUGCUCUCCCACCUUCAUGAGGACAGCCUAUUGGAUGACUCGCAUCGGGUGCCAUCAAAGAACCCAUUAACUACUAUAUUCAUGGACUGGAAGGAAAUGAGGCAAUCAUCUAGCUACUACGUUUUUGGGUGCCUUGAUACAAAGCGCCUUCAUGCUAUUAUAUAGGCACUUACCAUAAGUACCAGUAAACAAUUAACUCAUACAUCUCGUAGCCAAUGAACUAUGAAUCAGCAGAAAAUCAUUAUUUUGUUUGAUCAACUAAAGCGCACGACCUGUGACGUUUGGCACUUAGCCCAAGCAUUACACCGAUAUGUGAUUUAGGUAAUACUCCCACAGUACAUUAUGCAUAACCAACACCUUAAAUUUUGUACAAUCAGACUUUUCGUGAUUUGAUCACUAUUUGUAUAAACUUAUGUCACUAUCAUGAAAACACCUCAGAGAUGCACAUUUUCUUGGUACCUGCUCCCACUCUACUAUAACACCUCUCCGUCCCAUCCAAGCAGUUGGCCUCUUAUUUCUUUUUGGUGUAUGUUUCUCAGCCUCGUUCAUGGUGUCUACCUCCAUGCGAAACACGGGUUCAAAUAAGUGUGCAGGUGCAGUAUCUAUGAAAUAAAGGCAGCAAGUUCUCCCAGUUCACAAGAGAAAAUAUCGUUUAUAAUUAUGGUAAUAAAAUAAUGUAGGUCUCAGGACAAACAACCAUAUGUACUCGCACUUACAAAUGUGAUUGCUUCUUGUAAUCCCAAAUUAGUAAUCGUCAGUGCAUGACUUAAAUUAGUAAACAAUUAACUCAUACUCCCUCCAUCCCACAAAGAGUUAUUUUAAAAAAUUUCAGACAGUAUAGUAGUGGUGAGAAAUGUAUAUGUUGCCCCUAAUAACUAAUACUAGUUGUCAUUAAAAAUCAUGCGGUGUGUUUAGUUUCUCGAUCCUAAAUAAAUGCACGCAUUGAAAUCAGAGAAAUAACACCAAUUGAUUAUUUGAUUGGCUCUACACACUUCUCCAUACUUUUUUAUUAUUGGUGUGAGUGUUGUUUUAGUUAGAUGAGAUUUAUUAGGAGGUAAAGGACACUCUUCGUGGGACAAAUUGUAGAAUCUAAAAGGACACUCUUUGCGGGAUGUAGGGAGUAUAUCUCAUAGACAAUGAACUAUAUGAAUCAGCAGUAACCAUUGUUUGAUCAACUAAAGCAUGACCUAUCAUAUAAGGCUAAUUUAAAUUCUGAUCAAUCAGACAUUUCAUGAUUUGACUAUUUGUAUUUCUAAUUCUGGAGAGUGGAUAUAAGAAACUAUGUCACUAUUAUGAAAACACCCUGAGAGAUGCACAUUUUCUAGAUACCUACUCCCACUCUACUAUGACACCUCUCCAUGCCCUCCAAGCAGCUGGCCUCUAAUUUCUCCUGGAUGUAAGGUUUCUUAGCCUCAUUCGUGGUGUCUCUGUCCACGCGAAACACGCGUGUGCAGAUACAUGUACAGAUGCACUAUCGCUUUCCUGACAUAGAGUCCUGAUCCGUCCAUAGAACCAUCUGUGUCCUCGUGGUCCACGGGAGGAUAGCUAAGGCCUUAUUAAUUAACGGUAGCUUACUGAUAGUAGCUAAGAAACACACUAUAUAAUAACCUUCGUCAAGAAUGCAGAACCCAUCUAAGCAAAGCGCACAAAACAACAGAUAGGAUUGAACAACAAUGGCAACUCAGGCCACGCCCAUUGUAGUGCCCACCGAUGCUGAACUGCUGCAGGCACAGGCCGACCUAUGGCGCCACAGCCUCUACUACCUCAAAUCCAUGGCACUGAAGUGUGCCGUGGAGCUCGGCAUACCUACAGCCAUCUACCGCCUAGGCGGUAGUGCCUCGAUUCCUGACCUGAUCACCGCACUGUCACUGCCCGUAGCUAAGCAACAAUUCCUCAGUCGCCUCAUGAGGCUCCUUGCCUCAUCCGGUGUCUUCAGCGUGGUUGACUCCACUGAGGCUACCUACUCCCUCACCCCAUUGUCAUACCUCCUGGUUGACGGCAUUGAAGCCGAUGACCAUAUCAACCAUGCACCUUUCCUGCUCACUGUAACCGCGACACACUACAUUGACCUAGCAAUGGGGCUAGCUCACUGGUUCAAGCAGGAUGCCAAGAAACCACCCUUUGAUCAUGUGCACGGAGCAUCGCUGUUUGAGGAGAGCAUGGAGCGCAAGCAUCCUGAGUUCCACAAGAUGGCAAUGCAAGGUUUAAUUGUCCAUGACAAUUUCGGAACGAACAUUGCGCUGCGGGAGUUCAGUGACAUAUUCCAGGGGAUAAAUUCAUUGACUGACUGUUGCUACCAUGGGGACGGAAUGACGGCAAAGGCCAUUGCCAAGGCCUUUCCACACAUGAAGGUCACUGUGCUAGACCUUCCACAAGAGAUUCGAAAAAUACCAACUGAUGGUGUUGUUAACUAUGUUGGAGGUGACAUGUUCAAGUCCAUCCCACGUGCUCAAGUGGUGAUGCUUAAGGUAUGAGUGCAAUAACAGUUUCAUUGCAAAAAAAUCAGUUGACACAUUAAUUUAAUUAGACAAAAAAAUUGAAAUAGACUGGUCAAUGUACUAGCAUCUUUCAUUUAUAGAAAAAUCAUCAAUAUUAUUGGUAUCUAUACUGUAUAAGAUGAACUUAGCUAAACGCUACAUUUUCGUGAUCUCACCUAACGUUAUUGAACUUUUCCAUUGCAGAUGGUGCUGCAUCACUGGAGUGAUGAGGACUGCGUGAAGAUCCUCGCCAAUUGCAAGAAGGCAAUAGCUUCACGAGAAGAGGGAGGAAAAGUUUUGAUUGGAGAUAUAGUUCUCGACCCUGCUUCAGAACCUGUAAUGUUUGAGACCCAACUCUUGAUGGACGUCUGCAUGAUGCUUAUGAAAGGAGGCCGGCAACGCGACUUAAAUGACUGGCGUGACAUCUUCAUCAAAGCAGGGUUCAGCGACUUCAAGCUUGUCAAGAAAUUUGGAGCUCGAGGUGUCUUGGAGGCCUACCCGUAAGAUUUCUCCUGGACAUUCUUAUAUUGCGGUUGGGCACCAUAAACCUAUAGUGAAUAAAUAAAAAAAGUGCCAUAAUUUUCGAAUUAUCGUUUCAUGGAACAUGAUCAAGCAGCUUGCUGAGGUUACAAAGCUGGUUUGCUUCAUGAUCUGUAUACUUUCAUUUCGAAACGUAUAUCUACAAUCUACAACUUGCUCAUAUAUUGUAUGUGUAUGGUAUUGAUAUCCACCAACUGGAGUUGGAUGUGUGUAAUGCCCCUGUUUCUCAGAAAAGCAACC
This 4096-nucleotide long non-coding RNA is filed under the name Setaria italica (foxtail millet). RNAcentral describes it as "long non-coding RNA (SITA_LNC005843)". The record is from RNAcentral. Lineage: Eukaryota; Viridiplantae; Streptophyta; Magnoliopsida; Poales; Poaceae.